GACGAACGCUGGCGGCGUGCCUAAUACAUGCAAGUAGAACGCUGAAGGAGGAGCUUGCUUCUCUGGAUGAGUUGCGAACGGGUGAGUAACGCGUAGGUAACCUGCCUGGUAGCGGGGGAUAACUAUUGGAAACGAUAGCUAAUACCGCAUAAUAGCAGUUAUUGCAUGAUAACUGUUUGAAAGGUGCAAAUGCACCACUACCAGAUGGACCUGCGUUGUAUUAGCUAGUUGGUGGGGUAACGGCUCACCAAGGCGACGAUACAUAGCCGACCUGAGAGGGUGAUCGGCCACACUGGGACUGAGACACGGCCCAGACUCCUACGGGAGGCAGCAGUAGGGAAUCUUCGGCAAUGGACGGAAGUCUGACCGAGCAACGCCGCGUGAGUGAAGAAGGUUUUCGGAUCGUAAAGCUCUGUUGUAAGAGAAGAACGAGUGUGAGAGGGAAAGUUCACACUG
This 456-nucleotide ribosomal RNA is filed under the name Streptococcus mitis. RNAcentral's name for it is "bacterial SSU rRNA". It matches the Rfam family "Bacterial small subunit ribosomal RNA", at positions 28 to 471 of the family's 1533-position model. The record is from RNAcentral. Lineage: Bacteria; Bacillati; Bacillota; Bacilli; Lactobacillales; Streptococcaceae.